RNAcentral lists this small nucleolar RNA (153 nucleotides) under Mustela putorius furo (domestic ferret). Its description in RNAcentral is "Small nucleolar RNA SNORA70 (ENSMPUG00000021616.1)". It matches the Rfam family "Small nucleolar RNA SNORA70". Rfam says of the family: snoRNA U70 seems to be exclusive to mammals and is a member of the H/ACA class of snoRNA which contain H (ANANNA) and ACA box motifs. H/ACA box snoRNAs are involved in the conversion of uridines to pseudouridines (5-ribosyluracil) a constituent of structural RNAs (transfer, ribosomal, small nuclear, and small nucleolar). The record is from Rfam by way of RNAcentral. Lineage: Eukaryota; Metazoa; Chordata; Mammalia; Carnivora; Mustelidae.
CGGCAACUAGUCUCGAAUGAGCAAGUGAGUGGAUCGAGAAAGGAAGGAAGGGCGGGCCCGGUGUGCCGUGGCUGCGAACAGUAGCGUCCUCGGUAGUGGGGUUCUCAUGAGUGUUGAUUGUCUGGGUUGCCCUAAGGGACCCUGGAGACAGCC